Molecule: ribosomal RNA, 43 nt
Filed under: Coscinodiscus wailesii
Lineage: Eukaryota; Bacillariophyta; Coscinodiscophyceae; Coscinodiscales; Coscinodiscaceae
Description: partial Trypanosomatid mitochondrial large subunit ribosomal RNA
Source: RNAcentral
AGAAUAUAUAUUGAUUAAAAUAAAAAUAAAAAAAAUAAAAAAA